Molecule: non-coding RNA, 227 nt
Organism: Cinara cedri
Lineage: Eukaryota; Metazoa; Arthropoda; Insecta; Hemiptera; Aphididae
Source: the annotation of a GenBank genome assembly
AGUGAUUUUUGUAAACUACGCUUUCGAGGAACCCAUUCGUAAUGGCAUUCAAAACAAUACAAUUGAAUCAAAACAAUUAACUAAUUUUAAGUUGUUUUACGUCAAGAAUUGGUAUAACUAAUUAAAAUGAAAUCGUAUAAUUUAUCAGAUGUUACCUAUACCUAUAAUUAUACAGAUAACUAUAUUUUAUUGGUGGAAAUGAUGGAAGUUUGAUUUAUAUCAGUUAU